AUGCUUUUGUAGUUCAUAAACAUGAUGAUUGGGUUUUCAUGCUCUUGUGUGAGAUGUGCCUCCCUGAAACCUUGGAAACCUGACU
Small nucleolar RNA from Callithrix jacchus (white-tufted-ear marmoset), 85 nucleotides. Lineage: Eukaryota; Metazoa; Chordata; Mammalia; Primates; Cebidae. The record is from Ensembl.